AGAGUUUGAUCAUGGCUCAGGACGAACGCUGGCGGCGUGCUUAACACAUGCAAGUCGAACGGAAAGGCCCUUCGGGGUACUCGAGUGGCGAACGGGUGAGUAACACGUGGGUGAUCUGCCCUGCACUCUGGGAUAAGCCUGGGAAACUGGGUCUAAUACCGGAUAGGACCGCAUGCUUCAUGGUGUGUGGUGCAAAGCUUUUGCGGUGUGGGAUGAGCCCGCGGCCUAUCAGCUUGUUGGUGGGGUAAUGGCCUACCAAGGCGACGACGGGUAGCCGGCCUGAGAGGGUGACCGGCCACACUGGGACUGAGAUACGGCCCAGACUCCUACGGGAGGCAGCAGUGGGGAAUAUUGCACAAUGGGCGCAAGCCUGAUGCAGCGACGCCGCGUGAGGGAUGACGGCCUUCGGGUUGUAAACCUCUUUCAGUAGGGACGAAGCGAAAGUGACGGUACCUACAGAAGAAGGACCGGCCAACUACGUGCCAGCAGCCGCGGUAAUACGUAGGGUCCGAGCGUUGUCCGGAAUUACUGGGCGUAAAGAGCUCGUAGGUGGUUUGUCGCGUUGUUCGUGAAAACUCACAGCUUAACUGUGGGCGUGCGGGCGAUACGGGCAGACUAGAGUACUGCAGGGGAGACUGGAAUUCCUGGUGUAGCGGUGGAAUGCGCAGAUAUCAGGAGGAACACCGGUGGCGAAGGCGGGUCUCUGGGCAGUAACUGACGCUGAGGAGCGAAAGCGUGGGUAGCGAACAGGAUUAGAUACCCUGGUAGUCCAA
Molecule: ribosomal RNA, 773 nt
Filed under: uncultured bacterium
Lineage: Bacteria
Description: bacterial SSU rRNA
Rfam family: Bacterial small subunit ribosomal RNA
Source: RNAcentral